RNAcentral lists this ribosomal RNA (497 nucleotides) under uncultured bacterium. RNAcentral describes it as "partial 16S ribosomal RNA". It matches the Rfam family "Bacterial small subunit ribosomal RNA", at positions 28 to 507 of the family's 1533-position model. The record is from RNAcentral.
GAUGAACGCUGGCGGCGUGCCUAAUACAUGCAAGUCGAGCGAACGGACGAGAAGCUUGCUUCUCUGAUGUUAGCGGCGGACGGGUGAGUAACACGUGUAUAACCUACCUAUAAUACUGGGAUAACUUCGGGAAACCGUAGCUAAUACCGGAGAAUAUUUUGAACCGCAUGGUUCAAAAGUGAAAGACGGUCUUGCUGUCACGUAUAGAUGCAUCCGGGCUGCAUUAGCUAGUUGGUAAGGUAAUGGCUUACCAAGGCAACGAUGCAUAACCGAACUGAGAGGCGGAUCGCCCACCCUGGAACUGAAACACGGUCCAGGCUACUACGGGAGGCAGCAGAAGCGAAUCUUCCGCAAUGGGCGAAAGCCUGACGGAGCAACGCGGAGUGAGUGAUGAAGGUCUUCGGAUCGUAAAACUCUGUUAUUAGGGAAGAACAUAUGUGUAAGUAACUGUGCACAUCUUGACGGUACCUAAUCAGAAAGCCACGGCUAACUACGUG